UGGGUAUAUAAGCACGGGAAAGGUGGAUUCGGUUCCUGACCAGCCGCUUUGCCCUGCACCUCCAGACUCUGUGCGGAUCCCGCUGACCUUCCCCCCAAACCCCCUAGAUUUCACCCCCACCUUAUUUUCUCCCAACCUUCUUUCUUUCUUCCAUUCCAUCCUGACCUCUACCUCUGGCUGACCUUUCUCUGGAGUGGGGAGGAGGGUGAUAGGGGUUGGGUGAGUAAAAUAAAGGCAGUGAGGUGACAGAAGAGACUUUUUGGAGAGAGUGAGAGAAAGAGAGGCGGUGGGUACCUACCUAACCCAACCCCAUUGGCUUUCUAGUUGAGGGUGUGAGCAGCAUCAGCCUGUGCAAGGAAGAUUACUUUGGCUUCUUUUUCUUUUCUUCUUUGCUUGGCUUCCUUCUUUCCUUUUCUCUCUCUCGCCCUCUCAGCUGUAAGCGUGCAUGCCUUCCCCUCCCUCUGUACCUUAGCUGGAGAUGCUGCAGGAAGAAUAGAGAUGUAGUGGUGCCUAUAGGGGAGAUGAGGUGCAGGAUGUGUGGAAGGGAGUUGCGUGUGUGUACGUGUGUGUAUGUAUGGAGGGUGGAAGAUAACUGGGGGUGGGGUUGUCUGAAUAUUCUCUCUCUCUCUCGCUCUCAUUCUCCAAGUGAGGUCUAAUGCCAUUACUGGGCCUGCUCCUUUCUCUCUCUCUCUCUCUCUCUCUCUCUCUCUCUUUCUCUCUCUUUCUCUCUCUCUCUCUCCCCUCCUGCAUUAGAGAUUAGCUUUAAGGAAAAGGCUGACGGCUGCUGCAUGCAACGCAUUAUUACCUUGUGAUUCCAUGACCCUCCUCUAUGCAUCCCUAACUCUCGAAAGCUGAUUCAGCUUUCAGCUACUGCUCUGGUGACUUCCACUGCUGCAACAGGAAAAAAAAAUCUUCUAACUGGUAUGUCUUCUUUUCCUUUUUUUCUGUUUCACCUCUCUCUCUUAUCUCCCUUUAACUAUUUUCCUACCCCCUUUUCCAUAACACCCUCUGAAUUGCACCAGCUUAGCUUUGUUUUAAAAAAAGACCUGCUGCAGAACUCUUUUUUCCCCCUUCUGUGCAUGCAUCCAACUUGUCUCUCUCUGUGUGCUCACUUAAAAUGCAUGCUUCUGCAUCCAGCAGAAGGGCAGCAGCAUGCUUUCAUAGAGGUGGGGGUGGGAUGGGUUAGUGUUAGGGCAAUGUUGGGAUUCUUCCCCCUUUUCUCUUCCUCCCCUUUUUUCCUCUUGUUGUUGUUAUUCUAUUGCUGUAGCACACACUCCGCAUUUAAAACACACACACACAGACACACAUCCACACGCACAAAACUGCAGAGCAAGCAGUGGACUAGAAUAAUCUGAACUGAAACGCUAGAACUUUGACAUGCAGCCGUAUUGCAAGGUUAAACCAACCUUUUAAAUGCCUCAUUCAGAUAUGAGCCGGCUAAUGACAGCUGUGGCGGGGAGGGGGAAUAUUUUUUGAUAUUAAUAACUAGUGGCUGCAAGCUGUAGCGAUACCAAAAGGGGAAAGGGGCACUGGCACACAGCGACACAGCCACACUCACAGGCACACAAGGUGGUUAAACUUAGCCUAACUUGUCAUGAUCUCAGCGCUGCGGUGAUUAACCAUCGAAAUGCCAGGGCUUGUGAGCAUUAAUUACCUGUGCAUGAUUUAUGGGUAAUCAAAAUGGGAGGUUGGAGGUGAGGGUGAAGCAUCCGUAACCAGAUAGGCACACUGGAGAAGCCAAAGAAAGGGGGUUGGGGGUGGCUGGAGGAAAAGAAAGGCAAGUUAGACUUAAGAACAUCUUGUAUGUAGUUUUGCUUUCUCUUGGUCUUGAAGAUUAUAAUUGAAGUAUAAGAUUGUGAUGGCUGCUCAGUCAUAAAGUCAUGCAAUAUCCAAGAAUGCACUGUGGAUUUGAUACCGGCAAUGUAUGCAUAUUUGUAUACUAUAGGUACUGAAAAGCAUCUUGACUGUAGGUAAAUGGAGGAUCACUAUCCUGAGUCAAUGUGAAUAUUUGUACAUUCAUGUGCCUGUAUCCCAGCAAUGCUCACUAACACAUGUGUCUCUUGUGUACUUAUUCCAUAUGUUAUGGCUGUGGUUUCUGAGUCAUGUAGUGUGUGGAGUAGACCUAGGUCCCCUCCUGGGGCUGCUCCAGAGUUAGUGCAUUAAGGAUUUCAGGCUUGACCACUUGAGGCUUCUUUUCCAUCUCUCUAGUGUACUGUGUAUGUGUGCAUAGGGAAGAAUGAAUUCCUAACACUCAGCAAUAACGUGCAAUUGUGUCGUCAGAAAAAAAGCUAUCAUGGUAAUUGCUGCUUUUCUCCAGAACUGGUUUUAUCAUGCCUCUUGCUCAGAAUAUCAUUGAUGACACCGAGACAUGGAGUCAAUUCAGUAAGGAAUAGACAGAUAUCUAUUUGGGGUGGGCAGGAACAGUCAGCCUCCCCGCUCCCUUUAACUUUCCCACUCCUCACUUUCUUGUGCAUGUCGUCUUCCCAUGGCCCUUCUGUCUUGUGCCUCUUUUGACAUAGAUGGUCAUUUUGCAAAUAUUUGAGAUUGACACUUAGGGGACAGAGUUGAGAAAAAAAAGCUUUGUACAUUAAAGUGGGUUCGUAGUGCCUUUGUGUCACCACACCCACAAGGAGCCAACUCUCUUCCUUACUUCAAUUUCCUCCUUGAAUUUUCAUUGUGCCUCCUUAUAGGAGGAUUAUUAUUUGAAAAAGACAUAGGGAAAGAGAGAGAGGGGGGGGGGGAGUCUCCCUUCCUCAGCAUUUUGCCCUUGUUCACCUUUUUAUCAUGCAGGAUUUUCCCACUAUGAAUGAACCGACUACUCCAGCUGAAGAUGAGGAACUUGAGUUGCCCUCUGUUAUCCUUGAGGGUGUGAAAAUGAUAAAUAACCCUGACUAAAUGUAAAAGCAGCAGCUGAGCUAUAUAAUUCCGCUGUGCUAAAAGAAAAAAAGAAAAAAGAAGAGGAGGAGGAAGAGGAAGAGGAGGAGGGGAGGUGGAAGAGGAGCACUUUGGGCUGCUGUAAACCCAGUGCUGGGAGCAAAUGUGACACAAAUUACUUACCUGUCUUUUCCCACACACCUCUCUCCAUCAGGAGAGUAACGGCUGGCUCCUGUAUUAAUUUCUAGCCAGACUUGAAAACUUUGAGGUGACUUUUUUGUGCUGCUUUAAAUGGAGACAAUUUUGUCGCUUAACCUUUUUGUAUUUAUGGGGUUUGCCUCUUCCGCUUUGCUGAAUCGAGUUCCCAAUUAGCAGCUGUUUCAUUUGUGGAAGGAGCGCUUCAAGGAUUCAAGGGGAUAAAAAGGCAUAUAGGGAGAGAACUGGUGCCAAUUGAGGGCUCUUCACAAUAAUUUAAAAUGAGGGGUAAAUAGAUAAAGUGGAUAACCUUCAUCCACUUGUAGCUGUUUAAAAUGACUCCCCCCCCACCCCACUGCAUUGGAACAAGAAGAAACAAGUUAAAAGCCUGUGUCUCGAUCAGAUCCAUGCUUUUAAAAGGUAUUUGAUAAUGAUUUCUAAGCAAGGACACUGCUAUCCCAUCUAAGUGUGUGUGUAUGUAUGCGUGCCGAUUUUGUACCUUGGCUCAGUCUCGCUGAACUUAAUUCUGCUGCUUUGAUGCAUUCAGAGGGGGGAAUUUGCUUCAGCAAUCUCCACUGAGACCAAUUCCCUGCAAUGGGGCUAUCCUUUGGAAAUUUGCCUAUAUAUUAAUAGGGGAGUGCUAGAACAAUUGAGAGGUUUUUCAAAUUGUGAUAUUAUUAUUGUUGUUGUUAUUAUUAUUAUUGCUUUGAAAAAAAGAUAUUUAAUCAAUCAAUGCAGUCUAUCUGAGCAGAUAACCCAGUUGCCUUCUGGAUGAGUGGGAUAGUAGGCCUGCUUUGGAAAUAACGAAUCAGAAGAAUAGUAAUCCUAACGAUCAAUUAGCUUUAUAGUAACGCUUUGAAUUUGCGGUAGGGGUCCAGGUUGCCUUUGCCGUUGUAUGUUCAAAUGCCUAGUGGGGAGGGUGGGGUUGCCGGACCCAUCAAUACAAUUAAGUAUUCCAAAGUGCUUAGUUUGCCACUUGCUAAGUUUACUUAAACCCUCUUUAAAGGGUUCAUUAGAAGACUGUGAGAAAUGGUAAAAUUCAUUAACAUUAAGGCAGCCGUUCUGCAUUUGCCUGUAAAUUGGUAUUGAUCUGCAUGGCUCAGUCCAGUGGCAGGGAGGGAAGGAAGGAGUGAGGAGAGGAGAGGAGAGGAGAGAGAGAGAGAGAGAGAGAGAGAGAGAGGAGGUAGCCGUCAGAUGGAGCAGGUGAGUGCUCCAUUACAGCAAUGCUGAACGAGCAUUAUGCACUCAGUGUGACCUCCUGGUUUGCUCCAUGUCUAAAUCCUGCUCAUAAUAGUCUCCUAUUCAGUGCACUCAUCAUUCUCAGCGAUGCUACUCGGACCUCAUUGUUAGGGGAGCUUUAAAGCUCAGAGAGGCUGUGAGGUAACCAGUGAGAAGAGGGGGAAAAGAGAGGAGAGAUGCAGCCUGAUGCAAAUGCAAGGGAGACGCAAGGUUUCAUGCACAUGGACACUCACACGCACACCGAGGAGUAACUCCCGUGACUUUCUACUCUGGCCUACUUGCAGCAUCAUCCACCUGCCCCCCUUGAGCUGCUCCCACUCCGUCUGAUCUGGUCUGUCCUCACCUACAUCUCCAGCAUACUCCAAGCAGAAGAUAUUUUAGAAAAUCCCAUUGCUCCCCACUGUCUCCUCUUGUUCUCCUGUUCCUGGCAAAAGAGACCCAGAGAGAGGUCAAAGAGAAAACCAAGCCUUUUUCUUUGGGGGGUUUCCAUCCUCCAGGCUGCACCCCAUCUAUCAUGACCUACAAAAAGGGGGAGAAAACUGUGACAGUGGACACUUGAGAGGUCAGGACAUGGAGCAACCAAUUUAAACUGCAGGAAAAGAAAUUCCAGCUAAGCAUUAAGAAUCUCCUGAUGAUAAAACCUGUUCAACAGUGGAAUGCGCUGCUUUGAUCAACAGUAGCCUGAAGGCCAUCACAGGAGAGCAACCCAGUUCACAAACAAAGAAUCUCCACCUGUCUCCAAGUCUGUAUGUGUUAUUUAAUGAGCAUCACAGACUGUGCUGUGCCACAGAAGAACAGUAUCCAGACUGGAACCAAAUGUGAGAUUCCAACCUAACAUAGUUCCUCUGUAUCACAGAAGGUAUUGACAUAUUUUUCAGCAUUAGUUACUGAAUUAUCUAUGGUGCUGG
Molecule: long non-coding RNA, 5216 nt
Organism: Anolis carolinensis (green anole)
Lineage: Eukaryota; Metazoa; Chordata; Lepidosauria; Squamata; Anolidae
Exons: 4
Source: RefSeq, a predicted model, not a curated record